GUAGCUUAUGAAUAAUCAUUCAACUGUCAAGAUCAACGCCGAUCUAGCGUUGCAACAUUACAGCUCGAUACAAUAUAUAAUAUUACGACUGCAGGAUCAAGUUGAUCUAUUGCUACAAUCUUAUAGUCCCAUAUAAUAUAAUUUAACAUCAUGACUGCAGCAUUCUUUGAUAUGUACGUCUAUAUACACAUACACUUAUAGUUCUCAA
Non-coding RNA from Pelobates cultripes (western spadefoot toad), 208 nucleotides. The record is from the annotation of a GenBank genome assembly. NCBI's taxonomy places the organism in Eukaryota, Metazoa, Chordata, Amphibia, Anura, Pelobatidae.